This 460-nucleotide ribosomal RNA is filed under the name uncultured bacterium. RNAcentral describes it as "partial 16S ribosomal RNA". It matches the Rfam family "Bacterial small subunit ribosomal RNA", at positions 338 to 795 of the family's 1533-position model. The record is from RNAcentral.
CCUACGGGAGGCAGCAGUGAGGAAUAUUGGUCAAUGGACGCGAGUCUGAACCAGCCAAGUAGCGUGAAGGAUGACUGCCCUAUGGGUUGUAAACUUCUUUUAUAUGGGAAUAAAAUGUUCCACGUGUGGGAUUUUGUAUGUACCAUAUGAAUAAGGAUCGGCUAACGCCGUGCCAGCAGCCGCGGUAAUACGGAGGAUCCGAGCGUUAUCCGGAUUUAUUGGGUUUAAAGGGAGCGUAGGUGGAUUGUUAAGUCAGUUGUGAAAGUUUGCGGCUCAACCGUAAAAUUGCAGUUGAAACUGGCAGUCUUGAGUACAGCAGAGGUGGGCGGAAUUCGUGGUGUAGCAGUGAAAUGCUUAGAUAUCACGAAGAACUCCGAUUGCGAAGGCAGCUUACUGGACUGCAACUGACACUGAGGCUCGAAAGUGUGGGUAUCAAACAGGAUUAGAUACCCUUGUAGUC